UCAAAAACAUAGCUUAAUGAAUAAAAGAUAUUAGGUAAUUUCUGCUCAAUGAAUAGUUUAAAUAGCCGCAGUACCUUGACUGUGCAAAGGUAGCAUAAUAAAUUGUCUUAUAAUUGAAGUCUAGAAUGAAUGAGAUUUCGGAUAAAAACUGUCUUAAUAUUAUUUGUUUCAAACUUAUUUAAUAAGUGAAAAUCCUUAUUUAAAUAUAAUAGACGAGAAGACCCUAUAAAUUUUUAUUAAAUAUUUUUAUAUAUUAAAAUUAUAAUUUUUGUUGGGGCGACAGGAUUACAUAAUUAACUAAUCAUAUAUAAACAAGAAGAUUAUAUAAUUUAUAAGUAUGAUUAAAUUACUUUAGGGAUAACAGCAUAAUUUAUUAUAAAGUUUGUGACCUCGAUGUUGGAUUAGGAAAAGUAGUUGUUAAAAACAAUUAUUAUAAGUUCUGUUCGAACUUUUAUACUCCUACAUGAUC
This 469-nucleotide ribosomal RNA is filed under the name Solaropsis punctatus. RNAcentral describes it as "partial large subunit ribosomal RNA". Lineage: Eukaryota; Metazoa; Mollusca; Gastropoda; Stylommatophora; Solaropsidae. The record is from RNAcentral.